This 549-nucleotide ribosomal RNA is filed under the name Pseudomonas frederiksbergensis. RNAcentral's name for it is "bacterial SSU rRNA". It matches the Rfam family "Bacterial small subunit ribosomal RNA", at positions 94 to 639 of the family's 1533-position model. The record is from RNAcentral. Lineage: Bacteria; Pseudomonadati; Pseudomonadota; Gammaproteobacteria; Pseudomonadales; Pseudomonadaceae.
AGCGGCGGACGGGUGAGUAAUGCCUAGGAAUCUGCCUGGUAGUGGGGGAUAACGUUCGGAAACGAACGCUAAUACCGCAUACGUCCUACGGGAGAAAGCAGGGGACCUUCGGGCCUUGCGCUAUCAGAUGAGCCUAGGUCGGAUUAGCUAGUUGGUGAGGUAAUGGCUCACCAAGGCGACGAUCCGUAACUGGUCUGAGAGGAUGAUCAGUCACACUGGAACUGAGACACGGUCCAGACUCCUACGGGAGGCAGCAGUGGGGAAUAUUGGACAAUGGGCGAAAGCCUGAUCCAGCCAUGCCGCGUGUGUGAAGAAGGUCUUCGGAUUGUAAAGCACUUUAAGUUGGGAGGAAGGGCAGUUACCUAAUACGUAAUUGUUUUGACGUUACCGACAGAAUAAGCACCGGCUAACUCUGUGCCAGCAGCCGCGGUAAUACAGAGGGUGCAAGCGUUAAUCGGAAUUACUGGGCGUAAAGCGCGCGUAGGUGGUUCGUUAAGUUGGAUGUGAAAUCCCCGGGCUCAACCUGGGAACUGCAUUCAAAACUGUCGA